UGUUCUUAGGUCACUGGGUCACAUAAACUAUAGUGGAUUUCUGUAUGUCUUUUUUUCUUUUUUUGUCUAGAUACACAACUCACAAAUGAAAAGCAUGCAGAUGAGAAACCCAUUAAUGCUAUCGUAAUAAAUUCAGUAUCUGAAUUCAAUAUCACAGAUGGACCAGCCAAGGAAAACCCCAAUGAGAAAAAACUGUCAGAAUCCAGCACAUCACUGUCCUCCCUUGAAGAAUGCCAAACGAAUUUUUCCUACCUCCAAACUGAUACUUCAGUUCAUCACAGAGACACCGAUGAGGAGUGUGCCUCCUUUAUCCUCGCCUGUCUGUUUUGCCAGUUUUGGGACUGUCUCCUGAUGCUCCCUGGCACAUGCGAAAUGGUGUGUACCAAGGUGUGUUGCCCCUCUCACCAGUAUCACCACACCUCGGAUGAAAACCACUCUCGGAAUGAUUGCAACUGCAACUGUGACAUGGACUGCAGCCUUUUUGAGUCUUGCCACGAGACCAGCGACUGUCUGGAACUGGCCAUGGAGAUUUCAGAAAUCUGUUACCGCUAGCGCGGUGAAGUAACCACGUUCCGGCAGUCCUUUUGGCCACGGUGGUAAAUUCCAUUACAGCAAGACUGAUUUUCACGUGCUGAAAUGUAAGGACUGUACAGAUUUCUUGGAUGCUAUAGGCCAUGUUAUUCUGCACCUGUGCAGGAAAGCUAGUAUUGUCAACUUAAUGGUCUUAUUCCAAAUUUCACAACCGCACGGCUCACUGAAAAAUAAGAUUCUUGAUCACGUGUGAUGAACAAAUCUCAAAUACCUCUUAAAUCCCAUAGGUACAAGAUGUUUCUUGACUAUAAAAUAGCAUGUUAAGUCACUGUGUUAUGGCACUCAUCAGCUUGCAUCAUGGAUUCAACUUCAUUCACAAAUUCAGGACAAAUCAGUGCAUUCUUUUAGAAUUGAUAUAUACAUUAGCUCAUCUUUCUAAUGGACUCAUGCAUAAACAUUAUGCAUUGUUGGUUAUUAUUAAUAAUGUAUUGUAUAACAUCAUUUUGUAAUUAAAAAUUUAUUUACACAGUCUCUUAAAAUUCACUUAUAUGUACAGUUUAUAGGAAAGGGAAUUAAAUGAAUUAGAAACCAUGUUCCUGUAAUUACAACAGAUGUCUCUAAAGCAUCUCCAGUGAAUUUUGAAUAUGGUGUACUUGAAGAGAGUACUAUAAUUCUAGACCAUAUUAUUGUAGGUCUAUGACUAUGUCAUAACAGGUUAUUUGUAUUCUCAAUUUGUUACAAAAAGGCUCCUAGUUAUUCUAAUAAGCAUAAAUGAGAAUUAUGUGCAAGUUUCAAAAAAAGAUCUCAAUCAAUUCUUCACUUUCUUCAUUUUUAUUUGUCAGAUACAAUAAGCAACAGGAUAUUAAACAGAUUCAGCUCAUUUGACCAAACUAUUGGUUGUAUUGACACCAGAAAGAAAUGUGCAUUGUAGGUACUUAUUCAGCACGAAGCUUCUUAAUAUAGCAUGUGCUUCAGAAAUCAUGUUUUUCUGUGAUAAUUAAAGUGCUCAAUAAUUAAGUACUUCUUUUACUUAUAAUUUCUUAAGAAAAAGAUGUGAUAUGGACUGGAAAGUGAUGUUCAACUCAAAUAAGUUAAAACAAUUUGUGGUGAAAGAACAUCCAGGUUAAAGUUACUUUGGAAUCUACUUUCUGUAGGAACAAUUCUAUUGUCCUUGGGCAAAUACAUUGCCCAUUACUUUGUGCUAAACUUCCAUGAAUAUAUCUUAAUAUUUUCAUUGAAUAUAAAAAAGCAUCAUGUAUGAGUAAUCAAACAAAGAACACAAAAGUUAAAUGGAGAAUUGAGGGAAUUUGUGUAUGUGUGUGUGAUUUAGAGAAACAGCAACAAUAAAAAUCUCCAAAAUACCUGUUUUUAUCUGACUUAGGUAACUUCAGGCAAAAGCACCAUUUACUUUAUUUCUGUAGCAAACUAGCACAUUUUUCCAAUUUGAAAUAAAUUCUCCCAAACAUUGAAAACUAUUCAUCUUUUGAAAACAUUUGUAAACUGCCUCUAAAAAGGCAUUUAACCACUCUCAACUUGCUCCUGACAGGGCAGUGCAUCCACGGUUAAUGCUGGCUUCAUUCCUGUUUGAUGACCACGUUAUUCACAAACCACAGAGCAUGAAAGUGCCCCACACCUUCUGUGAAACAGUCUCUCUGCUUUUCAGAAGCUCGAAGAAACAGCUCUAUACUUGAUGCAUAGAACGUGUAGAUCAUUAGAAGGAAAAAAAAAAAAAAACAGAUUCCUAGAACAGGAAGGGAACAUACGCUGUUCUUAUGCAACCUUCUUAUAUUUCAUAGGGGAAAACAGGGGCCCUGUAAAUUGACUUAUUCAACACCACACUGAAUUAUUGGCAGUGUCAGGAACUCUAACUUGGGUUCUAAUUUUCUGACUACCUGCACUCUUCAGUUAUUAGUCCAUCUGGUGCACAGUGGUGCAGGUGUUACAAUUGUUAAAAUACUAAAACACUACCAGACUGACUCAUCAACAGUUGUUCCCUUGCACCUCCUUAAUGCUUCCUUUAUGCCCCAUCCCUCCUGGCUCCUCUCUGAGCACCUGCCCCCUUACCUGUGGUUUAGUGACUAAAGGAGGAAUACCUCAGGGACUCUGGAACCCUAUUCCUAUAAUAUAGUACUUAGUAUCAUUGGUCAGGCUAUGUCAUAUUGGUGUUAAAUAUUUCAGCCAUCAUUCCCUUAUUUUUUCUACUCUACAUACUCUCAAAUUAUGCAAAGAUUGUGCAUUUCAAAUGUGAAUGGAAUGCUUGUCAAUUAAAGACAUAAAAAUCAUCAGGUCUUAUGUGAUAAUGUGGUCAGAAUAUUACAAGAUCUUUCUGUGGCCUUGCUUUCCACGGUUUGUUAACUUUGUUCCUCACUUUCAGAAUUCACCAUGCUAUAACAGAAAGGGUCGGUUAUACAAAGUGUGAAAUUUCUUUUCUUUAUAACCAAUAAUAAAACAUCAUCCUUUUUGCAAACA
Sapajus apella (tufted capuchin) is the source of this 3000-nucleotide long non-coding RNA. RefSeq lists it as uncharacterized. The record is from RefSeq and is a predicted model, not a curated record. The transcript has 2 exons. NCBI's taxonomy places the organism in Eukaryota, Metazoa, Chordata, Mammalia, Primates, Cebidae.